ACGGAGGGGGCAAGCGUUAUUCGGAUUUACUGGGCGUAAAGCGCACGUAGGCGGCAAUGCAAGUCGCAGGUGAAAGCCCUCGGCUCAACCGAGGAACUGCCUGCGAAACUACUUUGCUUGAGUCCGGGAGGGGGGAGCGGAAUUCCCAGUGUAGCGGUGAAAUGCGUAGAUACUGGGAGGAACACCGGUGGCGAAGGCGGCUCCCUGGACCGGUACUGACGCUGAGGUGCGAAAGCGUGGGUAGCAAACAGG
Molecule: ribosomal RNA, 252 nt
Filed under: uncultured bacterium
Lineage: Bacteria
Description: partial 16S ribosomal RNA
Rfam family: Bacterial small subunit ribosomal RNA
Source: RNAcentral